AUUGAACGCUGGCGGCAUGCCUUACACAUGCAAGUCGAACGCGAAAGGGGGCAACCCUGAGUAGAGUGGCGAACGGGUGAGUAAUACAUCGGAACAUUUCCUGUAGUGGGGGAUAACUUCGAGAAAUCGAAGCUAAUACCGCGUACGUCCUACGGGAGAAAGCAGGGGAUCGCAAGACCUUGCGCUAUAGGAGUGGCCGAUGUCGGAUUAGCUAGUUGGCGGGGUAAAANCCCACCAAGGCGACGAUCCGUAGCUGGUCUGAGAGGAUGAUCAGCCACACUGGGACUGAGACACGGCCCAGACUCCUACGGGAGGCAGCAGUGGGGAAUUUUGGACAAUGGGCGCAAGCCUGAUCCAGCCAUGCCGCGUGAGUGAAGAAAGGCCU
Molecule: ribosomal RNA, 385 nt
Filed under: uncultured bacterium
Lineage: Bacteria
Description: bacterial SSU rRNA
Rfam family: Bacterial small subunit ribosomal RNA
Source: RNAcentral